RNAcentral lists this ribosomal RNA (499 nucleotides) under uncultured bacterium. RNAcentral describes it as "bacterial SSU rRNA". It matches the Rfam family "Bacterial small subunit ribosomal RNA", at positions 30 to 518 of the family's 1533-position model. The record is from RNAcentral.
AUUGAACGCUGGCGGCAGGCUUAACACAUGCAAGUCGGGCGGAAACGAAGGUAGCUUGCUACCAGGCGUCGAGCGGCGAACGGGUGAGUAACGCGUAGGAAUCUACCUAAUAGAGGGGGAUAGCCCGGGGAAACUCGGAUUAAUACCGCAUACGCCUACGGGGAAAGGCAGGGAGUCUUCGGACCUUGCGCUAUUAGAUGAGCCUGCGUCGGAUUAGCUAGUUGGUAGGGUAAAGGCCUACCAAGGCAACGAUCUCUAGCUGGUCUGAGAGGACGAUCAGCCACACUGGGACUGAGACACGGCCCAGACUCCUACGGGAGGCAGCAGUGGGGAAUAUUGGACAAUGGGCGAAAGCCUGAUCCAGCAAUGCCGCGUGUGUGAAGAAGGCCUGAGGGUUGUAAAGCACUUUCAAUCGUGAAGAAAAGUUGCAGGCUAAUACCCUGUGACCUUGACGUUAACGAUACAAGAAGCACCGGUCUAACUCCGUGCCAGCAGCCGU